GACCUGGUGGUGAAUGGUUCACACCCACCUUCAUUCUACUUAUCUUUCAGGAAGAUGAAGUGGGAGCACCCGGUUCGAUUCCGGACUAGGUCG
Molecule: non-coding RNA, 93 nt
Organism: Mycena metata
Lineage: Eukaryota; Fungi; Basidiomycota; Agaricomycetes; Agaricales; Mycenaceae
Source: the annotation of a GenBank genome assembly